This 724-nucleotide ribosomal RNA is filed under the name Chaetoceros neogracilis. Its description in RNAcentral is "partial Bacterial small subunit ribosomal RNA". It matches the Rfam family "Bacterial small subunit ribosomal RNA", at positions 1 to 777 of the family's 1533-position model. The record is from RNAcentral. Lineage: Eukaryota; Bacillariophyta; Thalassiosirophyceae; Chaetocerotales; Chaetocerotaceae.
UUGAGAGUUUGAUCCUGGCUCAGAACGAACGCUGGCGGCAGGCCUAACACAUGCAAGUCGAGCGCACCUUCGGGUGAGCGGCGGACGGGUUAGUAACGCGUGGGAACGUACCCUUUUCUACGGAAUAGCCUUUGGAAACGAAGAGUAAUACCGUAUACGCCCUUUGGGGGAAAGAUUUAUCGGAGAAGGAUCGGCCCGCGUUAGAUUAGAUAGUUGGUGGGGUAACGGCCUACCAAGUCUACGAUCUAUAGCUGGUUUUAGAGGAUGAUCAGCAACACUGGGACUGAGACACGGCCCAGACUCCUACGGGAGGCAGCAGUGGGGAAUCUUAGACAAUGGGCGCAAGCCUGAUCUAGCCAUGCCGCGUGAGUGAUGAAGGCCUUAGGGUCGUAAAGCUCUUUCGCCAGAGAUGAUAAUGACAGUAUCUGGUAAAGAAACCCCGGCUAACUCCGUGCCAGCAGCCGCGGUAAUACGGAGGGGGUUAGCGUUGUUCGGAAUUACUGGGCGUAAAGCGUACGUAGGCGGAUUAGUCAGUCAGAGGUGAAAUCCCAGGGCUCAACCCUGGAACUGCCUCAUAAACUACUAGUCUAGAGUUCGAGAGAGGUGAGUAGAAUUCCGAGUGUAGAGGUGAAAUUCGUAGAUAUUCGGAGGAAUACCAGUGGCGAAGGCGGCUCACUGGCUCGAUACUGACGCUGAGGUGCGAAAGUGUGGGGAGCAAACAGGA